RNAcentral lists this ribosomal RNA (305 nucleotides) under uncultured bacterium. Its description in RNAcentral is "bacterial SSU rRNA". It matches the Rfam family "Bacterial small subunit ribosomal RNA", at positions 337 to 640 of the family's 1533-position model. The record is from RNAcentral.
ACCUACGGGGCGCAGCAGUGAGGAAUAUUGGUCAAUGGGCGGGAGCCUGAACCAGCCAAGCCGCGUGAGGGAAGAAGGUACAGCGUAUCGUAAACCUCUUUUGUCAGGGAACAAAGGCGGGGACUAGUCCCCGGAUGAGGGUACCUGAAGAAAAAGCAUCGGCUAACUCCGUGCCAGCAGCCGCGGUAAUACGGAGGAUGCGAGCGUUAUCCGGAUUUAUUGGGUUUAAAGGGUGCGCAGGCGGCCUGUUAAGUCAGCGGUAAAAGCCCGGGGCUCAACCCCGGCGCGCUGUUGAAACUGGCGGG